Molecule: ribosomal RNA, 412 nt
Filed under: uncultured marine bacterium
Lineage: Bacteria
Description: bacterial SSU rRNA
Rfam family: Bacterial small subunit ribosomal RNA
Source: RNAcentral
UAUUUGGACAAUGGGCGCAAGCGGGAUACUGACAUACCGGGUGAGUGAGACGGCCCUAGGUUAUAAAGCUCUUUCAACGGGAAGUUAAUGGCGGAGCCGUAGAAGAAGUCCCGUCUAACUUCGUGCCCGCAGCCGCGGUAAUACGAAAAGGAAUAGCGUUGUUCAGAAUAACUGGGCGUAAAGCGCACGUGGGGGGAUUUUUAAGUUAGGGGUGAAAUCCCAGGGCUCAACCCUGGAAGUGCCUGUGAUACUGGUAAUCUAGAGUUCGAGAGAGGUGAGGGAAUUCCGAGUGUAGAGGUAAAAUUCGUAGAAUUGAGAGGAACACCAGUGGCGAAGGCGGCUCACUGGCUCGAUUUGACGUGAGGUGCGAAAGCGUGGGGAGAAUACGGGAUAGAUACCCUGGAGUCACGCA